CACCUGCACAGGUGCUGCAUGGCUGUCGUCAGCUCGUGUCGUGAGAUGUUGGGCUAAGUCCCGCAACGAGCGCAACCCUCGACCUUAGUUGCCAGCAUUCAGUUGGGCACUCUAAGGUGACUGCCGGCUAAAAGUCGGAGGAAGGUGGGGAUGACGUCAAAUCAUCAUGCCCCUUAUGACCUGGGCUACACACGUGCUACAAUGGGCGGUACAAAGGGUCGCGAACCCGCGAGGGGGAGCCAAUCCCAAAAAGCCGCUCUCAGUUCGGAUUGCAGGCUGCAACUCGCCUGCAUGAAGUCGGAAUCGCUAGUAAUCGCAGGUCAGCAUACUGCGGUGAAUACGUUCCCGGGCCUU
This 354-nucleotide ribosomal RNA is filed under the name uncultured Anoxybacillus sp. RNAcentral describes it as "bacterial SSU rRNA". It matches the Rfam family "Bacterial small subunit ribosomal RNA", at positions 1027 to 1382 of the family's 1533-position model. Lineage: Bacteria; Bacillati; Bacillota; Bacilli; Caryophanales; Anoxybacillaceae. The record is from RNAcentral.